RNAcentral lists this ribosomal RNA (324 nucleotides) under uncultured Chloroflexota bacterium. RNAcentral's name for it is "bacterial SSU rRNA". It matches the Rfam family "Bacterial small subunit ribosomal RNA", at positions 28 to 351 of the family's 1533-position model. The record is from RNAcentral. Lineage: Bacteria; Bacillati; Chloroflexota.
GAUAAACGCUGGCGGCGUGCAUAAAACAUGUAAGUCGAACGAGUGGAAGCCGCAAGGCUGAAGCGAGUGGCGGACGGCUGAGUAACGCGUAGGUGACUUGCCCGGAAGUGGGGAACAACGAUUCGAAAGAAUCGCUAAUACCGCAUACGGUUGUGCGUAUAGACACGUGCAACGAAAGCUCGCAAGGGCGCUUCUGGAGAGGCCUGCGUCCGAUUAGCUAGUUGGUGGGGUAACGGCCUACCAAGGCUCCGAUCGGUAGCUGGUCUGAGAGGACGAUCAGCCACACUGGGACUGAGACACGGCCCAGACUCCUACGGGUGGCAG